UGCCGGCGACCGGCGACGGUGCGUAACGCGUAUGUAACCUACCUUUGACAGGGGGAUAACAUCGAGAAAUUGGUACUAAUACCCCAUAACAUCACCGGAGGCAUCUUCGGUGGUUGAAAACUCAGGUGGUCAGAGAUGGACAUGCGUUGUAUUAGCUAGUUGGUGAGGUAACGGCUCACCAAGGCGACGAUACAUAGGGGGACUGAGAGGUCAACCCCCCACAUUGGUACUGAGACACGGACCAAACUCCUACGGGAGGCAGCAG
RNAcentral lists this ribosomal RNA (265 nucleotides) under uncultured bacterium. RNAcentral's name for it is "partial 16S ribosomal RNA". It matches the Rfam family "Bacterial small subunit ribosomal RNA", at positions 86 to 354 of the family's 1533-position model. The record is from RNAcentral.